AGUGAGCGCUGGCGGUAGGCCUAACACAUGCAAGUCGAACGGCAGCACAGUAAGAGCUUGCUCUUACGGGUGGCGAGUGGCGGACGGGUGAGGAAUACAUCGGAAUCUACUUUUUCGUGGGGGAUAACGUAGGGAAACUUACGCUAAUACCGCAUACGACCUACGGGUGAAAGCAGGGGAUCUUCGGACCUUGCGCGAUUGAAUGAGCCGAUGUCGGAUUAGCUAGUUGACGGGGUAAAGGCCCACCAAGGCGACGAUCCGUAGCUGGUCUGAGAGGAUGAUCAGCCACACUGGAACUGAGACACGGUCCAGACUCCUACGGGAGGCAGCAGUGGGGAAUAUUGGACAAUGGGCGCAAGCCUGAUCCAGCCAUACCGCGUGGGUGAAGAAGGCCUUCGGGUUGUAAAGCCCUUUUGUUGGGAAAGAAAAGCAGCAGGUUAAUACCCCGCUGUUCUGACGGUACCCAAAGAAUAAGCACCGGCUAACUUCGUG
Molecule: ribosomal RNA, 492 nt
Filed under: uncultured bacterium
Lineage: Bacteria
Description: partial 16S ribosomal RNA
Rfam family: Bacterial small subunit ribosomal RNA
Source: RNAcentral